RNAcentral lists this long non-coding RNA (398 nucleotides) under Sorghum bicolor (sorghum). RNAcentral's name for it is "long non-coding RNA (SBIC_LNC013965)". The record is from RNAcentral. Lineage: Eukaryota; Viridiplantae; Streptophyta; Magnoliopsida; Poales; Poaceae.
GUCGCUUUCUGUUGCUAAUAGGUCAAAUCGUAUUAUCAGUCACUCUAUGCUCUCUUCGUUUUAUCUCGUUACUUAUGUUGUUUCCUUUGCUCACCAUCCCCACUGUGUCGCCACCAUGCCCUUACCUUCUUCCACCUCUCUAGCAACUAUUGAACAGAUUAACGAUGCCUAGAGCCUAUUUUCCUAGUGAUUUGAUAUAUCAGGCCUAGUUUAUUCAAGGCCUUGUUUAGUUCCCAGAAAAUUUUGCAAAAUUUUUCAUAUUUCCCGUCACAUCGAAUCUUUAGACGCAUGCAUAAAGCAUUAAAUAUAGAUGAAAAUAAAAAUUAGUUAUACAGUUUACCUAUAAUUUAUAAGAUAAAUCUUUUGAACAUAGUUAGUCUAUGAUUCAGAUAAUAUUU